RNAcentral lists this ribosomal RNA (497 nucleotides) under uncultured bacterium. RNAcentral describes it as "partial 16S ribosomal RNA". It matches the Rfam family "Bacterial small subunit ribosomal RNA", at positions 28 to 507 of the family's 1533-position model. The record is from RNAcentral.
GAUGAACGCUGGCGGCGUGCCUAAUACAUGCAAGUCGAGCGAAAAGACGAGGAGCUUGCUCCUAUGACGUUAGCGGCGGACGGGAGAGUAACACGUGGAUAAACUAACUAUAAGAAUGGGAUAACUACGGGAAACCGGAGCUAAUACCGGAAAAUAUAUUGAACCGCAAGGUUCAAUAGUGAAAGACGGUUUUGCUGUCACUUAAAGAUUGAUCAGCGCAUCAUUAGCUAGUUGGUAAGGUAACGGCUUACCCAGGCGACGAUGCGUAGCCGACCUAAGAGGGUGAUCGCCCACACUGGAUCUGAGACACGGUCCAGACUCCGACGGGGGGCAGCAGCAGGGAAUCUUCCGCGAUGGACGAAAGCCUGACGGUGCAACGCCGCGGGAGUGAUGAAGGUCUUCUGAUCGUAGAGCUCUGUUAUUAGGGAAGAACUAAUGUGUAAGUAACUAUGCUCGUCUUGACGGUACCUAAUCAGAAAGCCACGGCUAACUACGUG